This 637-nucleotide ribosomal RNA is filed under the name uncultured bacterium. RNAcentral's name for it is "bacterial SSU rRNA". It matches the Rfam family "Bacterial small subunit ribosomal RNA", at positions 163 to 796 of the family's 1533-position model. The record is from RNAcentral.
CUAAUACCGCGUGACGCCACCGGAGGGCAUCCUCCGGUGGCCAAAGGAGCGAUCCGGUGGCGGAUGGGCAUGCGGCGCAUUAGCUAGACGGCGGGGUGACGGCCCACCGUGGCGACGAUGCGUAGGGGUUCUGAGAGGAAGGCCCCCCACACUGGGACUGAGACACGGCCCAGACUCCUACGGGAGGCAGCAGUGAGGAAUAUUGGUCAAUGGGCGGAAGCCUGAACCAGCCAAGUCGCGUGAGGGAUUAAGGCCCUGCGGGUCGUAAACCUCUUUUGCCGGGGAGCAGUGGUCCGGACGCGUCCGGGCCGGGAGAGUACCCGGAGAAAAAGCAUCGGCUAACUCCGUGCCAGCAGCCGCGGUAAUACGGAGGAUGCGAGCGUUAUCCGGAUUUAUUGGGUUUAAAGGGUGCGUAGGCGGGCAUUUAAGCCGGCGGUCAAAUGUCGGGGCUCAACCCCGGCCUGCCGUCGGAACUGGGUGCCUUGAGUGGGCGAGAAGUAUGCGGAAUGCGUGGUGUAGCGGUGAAAUGCAUAGAUAUCACGCAGAACCCCGAUUGCGAAGGCAGCACACCGGCGCCCUACUGACGCUGAGGCACGAAAGUGCGGGUAUCGAACAGGAUUAGAUACCCUGGUAGUCC